CUACGGGCUGCUGCAGUGGGGAAUCUUAGACAAUGGGCGCAAGCCUGAUCUAGCCAUGCCGCGUGAGUGAUGAAGGCCUUAGGGUCGUAAAGCUCUUUCGCUGGGGAAGAUAAUGACGGUACCCAGUAAAGAAACCCCGGCUAACUCCGUGCCAGCAGCCGCGGUAAUACGGAGGGGGUUGGCGUUGUUCGGAAUUACUGGGCGUAAAGCGCGCGUAGGCGGACUGUUAAGUCGGGGGUGAAAUCCCGGGGCUCAACCCCGGAACGGCCUUCGAUACUGGCAGUCUGGAGUUCGAGAGAGGUGAGUGGAAUUCCGAGUGUAGAGGUGAAAUUCGUAGAUAUUCGGAGGAACACCAGUGGCGAAGGCGGCUCACUGGCUCGAUACUGACGCUGAGGUGCGAAAGUGUGGGGAGCAAACAGGAUUAGAUACCCGGGUAGUC
RNAcentral lists this ribosomal RNA (439 nucleotides) under uncultured bacterium. RNAcentral describes it as "partial 16S ribosomal RNA". It matches the Rfam family "Bacterial small subunit ribosomal RNA", at positions 339 to 795 of the family's 1533-position model. The record is from RNAcentral.